RNAcentral lists this ribosomal RNA (305 nucleotides) under uncultured bacterium. RNAcentral describes it as "bacterial SSU rRNA". It matches the Rfam family "Bacterial small subunit ribosomal RNA", at positions 337 to 658 of the family's 1533-position model. The record is from RNAcentral.
ACCUACGGGACGCAGCAGUGGGGAAUAUUGCACAAUGGGGGAAACCCUGAUGCAGCAACGCUGCGUGAGUGAAGAAGUAUUUCGGUAUGUAAAGCUCUAUCAGUAGGGAAGAAGAAAGACGGUACCUGACUAAGAAGCCCCGGCUAACUACGUGCCAGCAGCCGCGGUAAUACGUAGGGGGCAAGCGUUAUCCGGAUUUACUGGGUGUAAAGGGAGCGUAGACGGCGAUGCAAGUCUGAAGUGAAAGGCGGGGGCCCAACCCCCGGACUGCUUUGGAAACUGUAUAGCUGGAGUGCAGGAGAGGG